AUUGAACGCUGGCGGCAGGCCUAACACAUGCAAGUCGAGCGGAUGAAGAGAGCUUGCUCUCUGAUUCAGCGGCGGGCGGGUGAGUAAUGCCUAGGAAUCUGCCUGGUAGUGGGGGACAACGUUUCGAAAGGAACGCUAAUACCGCCUACGUCCUACGGUCGAAAGUGGGGGAUCUUCGGACCUCACGCUCUCAGAUGAGCCUAGGUACGAUUAGCUAGUUGGUGAGGUAAAGGCUCACCAAGGCGACGAUCGUUAACUGGUCUGAGAGGAUGAUCAGUCACACUGGAACUGAGACACGGUCCAGACUCCUACGGGAGGCAGCAGUGGGGAAUAUUGGACAAUGGGCGAAAGCCUGAUCCAGCCAUGCCGCGUGUGUGAAGAAGGUCUUCGGAUUGUAAAGCACUUUAAGUUGGGAGGAAGGGCAGUAAGUUAAUACCUUGCUGUUUUGACGUUACCGACAGAAUAAGCACCGGCUAACUUCGUGCCAGCAGCCGCAGUAA
This 500-nucleotide ribosomal RNA is filed under the name uncultured bacterium. Its description in RNAcentral is "partial 16S ribosomal RNA". It matches the Rfam family "Bacterial small subunit ribosomal RNA", at positions 30 to 523 of the family's 1533-position model. The record is from RNAcentral.